Molecule: ribosomal RNA, 253 nt
Filed under: uncultured bacterium
Lineage: Bacteria
Description: partial 16S ribosomal RNA
Rfam family: Bacterial small subunit ribosomal RNA
Source: RNAcentral
UACGUAGGGUGCAAGCGUUGUCCGGAAUUAUUGGGCGUAAAGAGCUCGUAGGCGGUCUGUCGCGUCGGCUGUGAAAACUCGGGGCUCAACCCCGAGCCUGCAGUCGAUACGGGCAGACUAGAGGUAGGUAGGGGAGAAUGGAAUUCCCGGUGUAGCGGUGAAAUGCGCAGAUAUCGGGAGGAACACCGGUGGCGAAGGCGGUUCUCUGGGCCUUACCUGACGCUGAGGAGCGAAAGCGUGGGGAGCGAACAGG